UUUGCUCUUCAAGGUGAUAUC
Molecule: non-coding RNA, 21 nt
Filed under: Arabidopsis thaliana (thale cress)
Lineage: Eukaryota; Viridiplantae; Streptophyta; Magnoliopsida; Brassicales; Brassicaceae
Source: RNAcentral